Molecule: ribosomal RNA, 332 nt
Filed under: uncultured bacterium
Lineage: Bacteria
Description: bacterial SSU rRNA
Rfam family: Bacterial small subunit ribosomal RNA
Source: RNAcentral
UGUGUAGGCGGACUGGCGUGCGUCUUGUGAAAUCCCCCGGCUUAACCGGGGAAUUGCUGGACGAACUACCAGCCUUGAGGCAAGUAGGGGUGCGCGGAACUCUUGGUGGAGCGGUGGAAUGCGUAGAUAUCAAGAGGAACGCCGGCGGUGAAGACGGCGCACUAGGCUUGUUCUGACGCUGAGACACGAAAGCGUGGGGAGCAAACAGGAUUAGAUACCCUGGUAGUCCACGCCCUAAACUAUGUCUACUAGGUUGCGGUCGUUCUGACACGGCCGGAGCCGAAGCAAAAGUGUUUAGUAGACCGCCUGGGGAGUACGGUCGCAAGGCUAAA